AGUAUGUCGUAAGGGAACGUCGCCGGAUGGAGGGGGAUAACUACUGGAAACGGUAGCUAAUACCGCAUAACGUCGCAAGACCAAAGAGGGGGACCUUCGGGCCUCUUGCCAUCGGAUGUGCCCAGAUGGGAUUAGCUAGUAGGUGGGGUAACGGCUCACCUAGGCGACGAUCCCUAGCUGGUCUGAGAGGAUGACCAGCCACACUGGAACUGAGACACGGUCCAG
RNAcentral lists this ribosomal RNA (225 nucleotides) under uncultured bacterium. Its description in RNAcentral is "partial 16S ribosomal RNA". It matches the Rfam family "Bacterial small subunit ribosomal RNA", at positions 109 to 334 of the family's 1533-position model. The record is from RNAcentral.